RNAcentral lists this non-coding RNA (80 nucleotides) under Helicotheca tamesis. The record is from RNAcentral. Lineage: Eukaryota; Bacillariophyta; Thalassiosirophyceae; Lithodesmiales; Lithodesmiaceae.
AAAAAGAAAAAAGUUUCCCACGACAGAUCUUGCCGCUUGUUGUGUCAUUGCUGUGCAUGUUUUUUUUUUUUUUUUUUUUU